AGGGCGCCAAACACAGUUUAAUUGCCAAACACGCAGCUGUCUUGGUCACUGUGUAUACUAAGUUUGUUUACUUUUCUGCGUUUGUGAUUAUGGAAUAUGGGUCUUUGGUUGAGACCCUCCCACUCCAGUUUCAUGCUCUUAUUUCAUUAUCAUAUUUCUAAUAUUCAUAGGACUGCAGACAUGGUGUACAACCUCUGUCUCUCCGUUCCUUUGGAAUAUUGAGGAGUCUUUGGAUGAACUCGCGUUUACUUCUGGCAAUAGCUAGCAAACCUUCAAGUGGGCUUGAUCAUCUUCUGUUGUUGGAUGAGCCAUAGCCAAUGUCAUCGCCGAUCGCAUCAUUUCGGAUGUCAUGACGGCGGUGCAGGAGGGAAGUCAACCAACUUUCCAAAGCUGAUAAAAUCAACCAGUCUAAGUAAGUUCUCUUGGUUGGAGAGUCAUUUGGGUGGUAACGAAGCAGUGGACGAGGCAAUCAAUCGAGCACACCAUUGAGACAUGGAUCAACCUCCACUGAUUGACGGAGCUGUGGUGACUAAGAUUGACACCAUUGAUGAUAAAAUUGAGUGAUAUUAA
Long non-coding RNA from Patiria miniata (bat star), 570 nucleotides. RefSeq lists it as uncharacterized. The transcript is spliced from 3 exons. The record is from RefSeq and is a predicted model, not a curated record. Lineage: Eukaryota; Metazoa; Echinodermata; Asteroidea; Valvatida; Asterinidae.